CCCUUAGAUGUUCUGGGCCGCACGCGCGCUACACUGAUGCAUUCAACGAGCCUAUCCUUGACCGACAGGUCCGGGUAAUCUUUGAAUCUGCAUCGUGACGGGGAUAGAUUAUUGCAAUUAUUAAUCUUCAACGAGGAAUGCCUAGUAGGCGCAAGUCAUCAGCUUGCGUCGAUUACGUCCCUGCCCUUUGUACACACCGCCCGUCGCUCCUACCGAUUGGGUGUGCUGGUGAGGCUUUGGGAUCUGAGCGGAAAGAGCGUUUCGCUGUUUCUGCUCGGAAAACUCAGUCGAACCUUAUCAUUUAGAGGAAGGAGAAGUCGCAACA
Molecule: ribosomal RNA, 325 nt
Filed under: uncultured eukaryote
Lineage: Eukaryota
Description: partial 18S ribosomal RNA
Rfam family: Eukaryotic small subunit ribosomal RNA
Source: RNAcentral